RNAcentral lists this ribosomal RNA (468 nucleotides) under uncultured bacterium. RNAcentral's name for it is "partial 16S ribosomal RNA". It matches the Rfam family "Bacterial small subunit ribosomal RNA", at positions 28 to 507 of the family's 1533-position model. The record is from RNAcentral.
GACGAACGCUGGCGGCGUGCUUAACACAUGCCAGUCGAACGGAAAGGCCCUGCUUUUGUGGGGUGCUCGAGUGGCGAACGGGUGAGUAACACGUGAGUAACCUGCCCUUGACUUUGGGAUAACUUCAGGAAACUGGGGCUAAUACCGGAUAGGAGCUCCUGCUGCAUGGUGGGGGUUGGAAAGUUUCGGCGGUUGGGGAUGGACUCGCGGCUUAUCAGCUUGUUGGUGGGGUAGUGGCUUACCAGGGCUUUGACGGGUAGCCGGCCUGAGAGGGUGACCGGCCACAUUGGGACUGAGAUACGGCCCAGACUCCUACGGGAGGCAGCAGUGGGGAAUAUUGCACAAUGGGCGGAAGCCUGAUGCAGCAACGCCGCGUGCGGGAUGACGGCCUUCGGGUUGUAAACCGCUUUCGCCUGUGACGAAGCGUGAGUGACGGUAAUGGGUAAAGAAGCACCGGCUGACUACGUG